Lolium perenne is the source of this 1552-nucleotide non-coding RNA. NCBI's taxonomy places the organism in Eukaryota, Viridiplantae, Streptophyta, Magnoliopsida, Poales, Poaceae. The record is from RefSeq and is a predicted model, not a curated record.
CUCCCACCCACUGAAGUCCCCAGUGGCUCCUGUCGGCUCGUCCUCGAUACCAGGAAGACGACUCCCCCAACCACCUCAUGCUUCUGGACGCCGUCCUUCUGCUUCCUCCGCAUCUGGCAGCGGCGGCCGCCGUCGAGGGCGGCGCCUUCCCGCCGUCCUCCGUGUCCAUCUUCCGCUCGGCGCCGCAACAGGUCAAGGUCAACCGCGCCCGGUGCUUGCCGCAGCGUUCGUGCCCACCAAGACAUGCGUCGAUGAGGUGCACGUAUACAGCCUUGCCGACGACGGGCAGAAGGGCCAAAUAUAAUCAUUCUACAAGCAGUGGUUCAUCACAAACAAAUGUACUAUGCCUGACUGGUCUUUUCGGCCUGCCAAUACUAAUUCAUUUGAGGAUGUUUUGCUCUAUAUUGCACUCCCCUAUAUUUAGACGAAACUUAUUUCACUUCAACACUGAAUUCUAAUGGAAAUAUGGAAUUGUAUGGUGUGAGCCUAGAUUGCUCUAGCUAUUUGUCUGAUUGGUCUUUGUUUCUAUAUAAGAGCUUUUUGUUUAUCUCUAUUUCAAAAUAUGUAUAGCAUUUUAAUUUGCUCUAGAUUGCUAUCUCUAUUUCAAAAUAUGUAUAGCAUUUUAAUUUGCUCUAGAUUGCUCCCCUGCUCUUACCAAUACAAAUUCGGUUCAGUUUGACAUGUAUUGCAUUUGGUUUUUUCCUCUUCAUUGUACUUGCCAACACCUAUUCGUGCAUUUGAGAUCAUGUAUUAAUUGGCAGCCUUAACUUUCUCCAACUAUAUUAUGUUAAUAUGUAUUGGCUCACUGCAUACCUUGCAGAUGCCAGGUUGGUUCGUCGAUACAUCAGUCUUCUAUCUUAAACUGCAUCCAUGAUAUAAUAUUAGUUACCUGAUAGAACGUGAAUCAAUUUGGCUUCCAGCUAUCUGAAUUGUGUACCAUUACUCCGCACUUCCCUGCUACACCUGUAUCUGAAUACUAGCUGUGCAUUGGAGCAGCACAACAGUGGCAGAUGAUUUGAGUAUUAGUUCAUGAGUGUCUUCCUCCUUUCCUCCGGGGCGGCGCUGGGACGCGGCGGAACGGAGCCACGGCGGCACGGUGAACUGUGCCGGUGACCAAGCCCAGACGGGGCUAGGGUUAGCCAUGGGGGCACAAGCAGGUGCAUGGGGGCGUCGAGAAGUAGGAAAACCGGAGGAGCAGGUUGAGGCGGAGCCUCGCCGGAUAUCGGCAGCGCCGGGGGCGGCUGGCAUCGGCCGGGGCGGCAGCAGGCGGCUGCGCGGGCUCAUCGCCAAGAGGAGAUUGCUAGAGAGCCAGGAAGGGGAUUGCAGUUUUGCAGAACGCCCUCCUCUAGCUGGGUAUUCUUAUUUCCAUGUCAAGUUAGCUGAAAGUGGGCCUGCAGCUCGCCACAUCAGCAAAUACGACGACCUUGUGUGAAGCUUUAACGCGUAUUCAGUGACCGUGAAUUUGUAUUCCUGUUGUACAAUGACCAAACUGAUUUUGCUCAACAAGUUUGAUGGCUACUGGUGGAUUUAACUCAAUAUAGAAGCAAGUCUC